This 368-nucleotide ribosomal RNA is filed under the name uncultured bacterium. RNAcentral describes it as "partial 16S ribosomal RNA". It matches the Rfam family "Bacterial small subunit ribosomal RNA", at positions 338 to 698 of the family's 1533-position model. The record is from RNAcentral.
CCUACGGGAGGCAGCAGUGGGGAAUAUUGCGCAAUGGGCGAAAGCCUGACGCCGCGACUCCGCGUGAGGGAUGAAGGUCUUCGGAUCGUAAACCUCUGUCAGCAGGGAAGAACGGUCACUUUGCUAAUCAGCAGUGAAUUGACGGUACCUGCAAAGGAAGCAUCGGCUAAAUCCGUGCCAGCAGCCGCGGUAAUACGGAGGUUGGGAGCGUUAAUCGGAAUUACUGGGCGUAAGGCGCUCGUAGGCGGUCUGACAAGUCAAGGGUGAAAUCCCCGCGCUUAACUUGGGAACUGACUUUGAAACUGGCAAUCUGGAGUGUGUGAGAGGAUAGUGGAAUUCCAGGGGUAGGAGUGAAAUCCGUAGAUAUC